RNAcentral lists this ribosomal RNA (371 nucleotides) under uncultured eukaryote. RNAcentral's name for it is "SSU rRNA". It matches the Rfam family "Eukaryotic small subunit ribosomal RNA", at positions 587 to 972 of the family's 1831-position model. The record is from RNAcentral.
AGCUCCAAGAGCGUAUACUAAUAUUGUUGCAGUUAAAAAGCUCGUAGUCGGAUUUCAGAUCGAAAUUGUAUUGGCACUUACCUGUGUUAGUCAAGUUUGGUCUUUCUUUCAGAAGCUAUCAUCGACUUUUAUGACGGUGAUGUGUGACUGAAUCGUUUACUUUGAGAAAAUCAGAGUGCUCAAAGCAGGUUUAGCCUGAAUGACACUCUUGGAAUAAUGAUAUAGGACUCCGGUUCUAUUCGUUGGUCUUGGGGACCGGAGUAAUGAUUAAUAGGGACGGUUGGGGGCAUCCGUACUUCGAAGCGAGAGGUGAAAUUCUUGGACCUUCGGAAGACGAACCACUGCGAAAGCAUUUGCCUAGGACGUCCCCG